UACAGAGGUCUCAAGCGUUGUUCGGAUUCAUUGGGCGUAAAGGGUGUGUAGGUGGCGCGGUAAGUCGGGUGUGAAAUCUUGGAGCUUAACUCCGAAACUGCAUUCGAUACUGCCGUGCUUGAGGACUGGAGAGGAGACUGGAAUUUACGGUGUAGCGGUGAAAUGCGUAGAUAUCGUAAGGAAGACCAGUGGCGAAGGCGGGUCUCUGGACAGUUCCUGACGCUGAGGCACGAAGGCCAGGGGAGCAAACGGG
RNAcentral lists this ribosomal RNA (253 nucleotides) under uncultured bacterium. RNAcentral's name for it is "partial 16S ribosomal RNA". It matches the Rfam family "Bacterial small subunit ribosomal RNA", at positions 524 to 776 of the family's 1533-position model. The record is from RNAcentral.